RNAcentral lists this ribosomal RNA (841 nucleotides) under Frankliniella occidentalis (western flower thrips). RNAcentral describes it as "eukaryotic LSU rRNA". It matches the Rfam family "Eukaryotic large subunit ribosomal RNA", at positions 1 to 663 of the family's 3401-position model. The record is from RNAcentral. Lineage: Eukaryota; Metazoa; Arthropoda; Insecta; Thysanoptera; Thripidae.
GACCUCAGUUCAGGUGAGAUUACCGGCUGAAUUUAAGCAUAUUACUAAGCCGAGGAAAAGAAACUAACAAGGAUUCCCCUAGUAGCAGCGAGCGAACAGGGAAGAGCCCAGCGCUGAAUCCCCCGGGCCUCGCUCGGCGGGAAAUGUAGCGUUUGGGAGGGCCCGUCAACACGGCGACUCGCUCACUGGUUCAAGUCCAACUUGAAUGGGGCCACACAGAGGGUGACAGGCCCGUAGAGCAGGAGCGGUUGUCGUGUGGGUCUCUCCUUAGAGUCGGUUUGCUUGAGAGUGCAGACUUAAGUGGGUGGUAAACUCCAUCUAAGGCUAAAUAUGACCACGAGACCGAUAGCACACAAGUACCGUGAGGGAAAGGUGAAAAGAACUUUGAAGAGAGAGUUCAAGAGUACGUGAAACUGAAGUGGUGUAAACGGACGAGUUCGAAAAGUCCGAAUGGUGAGAUUCAAGCUUACCGUGCCGGUGGCCCUCGGGUUCAGAUGGCGUCGUCAGCUCGGGCUUCGGUUCGGGUCAUACGGCGUCACUCGUCCUGGGGGUAUCUGUCUGGUGCGGUGGGCUGCACUUCUCGCCUAGUAGGACGUCGCGACCCGUUGGGAUGUUCCGUUCACUGGCCCUCGGUGGAGCCCGCGCCGGAGCGUGGCCUUGUGCCGCGUUGCUGUUUGCACGGACCCGGGGUGACCUGAUCGGCGCCCGACGGUAUCAAAGCUUGGGAAGAGGCCGCACAGAGGAUGCGUUCGAUGGCCGUUUCGGCCUACACUCGGACAGGCCUGCACCCGGUCAGCGGCGCUUCUGCUUUCGAUACUCGUCCGACCCGUCUUGAAACACG